RNAcentral lists this signal recognition particle RNA (266 nucleotides) under Candidatus Apopatosoma intestinale. RNAcentral describes it as "signal recognition particle sRNA large type". It matches the Rfam family "Bacterial large signal recognition particle RNA". Rfam says of the family: The signal recognition particle (SRP) is a universally conserved ribonucleoprotein involved in the co-translational targeting of proteins to membranes. Archaeal SRP consists of a 7S RNA and homologues of the eukaryotic SRP19 and SRP54 proteins. Lineage: Bacteria; Bacillati; Bacillota; Clostridia; Eubacteriales. The record is from RNAcentral.
CCAUACCGACCGGGGAGCCAGCGGUGCCCUGUACCUGCAAUCCGCUCAGCAGGGGUGAUCCCGAUUUUGAGGGGAGCGUUUGUGUGGUCUGCCCCGCAUCCCCCGGGCGUUGAGGGACGGGUCCCGCGCAAUCGGUGUCUGUGAACCAUGUCAGGUGGGGAACCAAGCAGCAUUAAGCAGAAGAACCGAUGUGCCGUGGGGUUGCCUGUCCGGAGCCCGGACUGCGGAAAGCGCAUGGAAAUUCUUUUCGAUUUUUCGGUGUAUGG